This 172-nucleotide microRNA precursor is filed under the name Medicago truncatula (barrel medic). RNAcentral describes it as "MIR2619 microRNA precursor family". It matches the Rfam family "MIR2619 microRNA precursor family". The record is from Rfam by way of RNAcentral. Lineage: Eukaryota; Viridiplantae; Streptophyta; Magnoliopsida; Fabales; Fabaceae.
AAACAGCCCCCUAUGUUUUGAUUCUUUGGCAGUUUUUGACCCUCAAGGCAAAAUAAAAUAAAAUAAAUUGACACGUGGCACCCUCACUUAGGGUGUCACGUCAGCGUUGACCGAGUCAACAAUGGAUUGGGGGUCCAAAACUGCCAAAGAAUCAAAACAUAGAGGGAUGUUU